This 435-nucleotide ribosomal RNA is filed under the name uncultured bacterium. Its description in RNAcentral is "bacterial SSU rRNA". It matches the Rfam family "Bacterial small subunit ribosomal RNA", at positions 957 to 1391 of the family's 1533-position model. The record is from RNAcentral.
GAACGCGAAGAACCUUACCAAGGCUUGACAUAUACUGGACCGCAUCAGAGAUGGUGUUUCCCUUCGGGGCUGGUAUACAGGUGGUGCAUGGUUGUCGUCAGCUCGUGUCGUGAGAUGUUGGGUUAAGUCCCGCAACGAGCGCAACCCUCGUUCUAUGUUGCCAGCACGUAAUGGUGGGGACUCAUAGGAGACUGCCGGGGUCAACUCGGAGGAAGGUGGGGAUGACGUCAAAUCAUCAUGCCCCUUAUGUCUUGGGCUUCACGCAUGCUACAAUGGCCGGUACAGAGGGUUGCGAUACUGUGAGGUGGAGCUAAUCCCUAAAAGCCGGUCUCAGUUCGGAUUGGGGUCUGCAACUCGACCCCAUGAAGUCGGAGUCGCUAGUAAUCGCAGAUCAGCAACGCUGCGGUGAAUACGUUCCCGGGUCUUGUACACACC